RNAcentral lists this ribosomal RNA (497 nucleotides) under uncultured bacterium. RNAcentral describes it as "partial 16S ribosomal RNA". It matches the Rfam family "Bacterial small subunit ribosomal RNA", at positions 28 to 507 of the family's 1533-position model. The record is from RNAcentral.
GACGAACGCUGGCGGCGUGCCUAAUACAUGCAAGUAGAACGCUGAAGAGAGGAGCUUGCUCUUCUUGGAUGAGUUGCGAACGGGUGAGUAACGCGUAGGUAACCUGCCUUGUAGCGGGGGAUAACUAUUGGAAACGAUAGCUAAUACCGCAUAACAAUGGAUGACACAUGUCAUUUAUUUGAAAGGGGCAAUUGCUCCACUACAAGAUGGACCUGCGUUGUAUUAGCUAGUAGGUGAGGUAAUGGCUCACCUAGGCGACGAUACAUAGCCGACCUGAGAGGGUGAUCGGCCACACUGGGACUGAGACACGGCCCAGACUCCUACGGGAGGCAGCAGUAGGGAAUCUUCGGCAAUAGGGGCAACCCUGACCGAGCAACGCCGCGUGAGUGAAGAAGGUUUUCGGAUCGUAAAGCUCUGUUGUAAGCCAAGAACGGGUGUGAGAGUGGAAAGUUCACACUGUGACGGUAGCUUACCAGAAAGGGACGGCUAACUACGUG